CCUGGGCUGGGGUGUAGCUCCAGAACCUAGCCUCCAACUCCCGCCAGCAGGUUUACGCAUGCGCGGCGACGCCUAGGCCUGUGGCACGGAGAGAAUUACCUCUGAUAAGAAACUUUUAUAAUCUAUUCUCUCUGAUGCCUGCUACCUGGAGACUUCAUCUGCAUAAUGAGAACCUUGGUCUCUACAACCCCUCAUCUUAACCCAGACAUCCCCUUCUAUUAGUUCUAUUUGCAUAAUGGAAACCCUGGUCUCCACAACCCCUUAUCUUAACCCAGACAUUCCUGUCUAUUGAUUCUAAGGCUUUAGACAACAAUUUAACUCUUUCAACCUAUUGCCAAUUAGAAAAACUUUGAAUCUACCUAUAACAUGGAAGCCACUCCUUCCAGUUGUCCCAUCUUUCUGGACGAAACCAAUAUACCCCUUACAUAUAUUGAUUGAUGUUUUAUUUCUCCCUAAAAUGCAUAAAACCUAGCUGUAUCCUGUAUCCUGACCACCUUGGGCACAUAUUCUCACAAUCUUCUGAGGGCUGCGUCAUGAGCAAUCUGUCACUCAUAUUUGGAUCAGAAUAAAUCCCUUCAAAUAUU
Cercocebus atys (sooty mangabey) is the source of this 584-nucleotide long non-coding RNA. RefSeq lists it as uncharacterized. Lineage: Eukaryota; Metazoa; Chordata; Mammalia; Primates; Cercopithecidae. The transcript has 2 exons. The record is from RefSeq and is a predicted model, not a curated record.